RNAcentral lists this long non-coding RNA (218 nucleotides) under Brassica napus (rape). RNAcentral describes it as "long non-coding RNA (BNAP_LNC023776)". Lineage: Eukaryota; Viridiplantae; Streptophyta; Magnoliopsida; Brassicales; Brassicaceae. The record is from RNAcentral.
GAGGGGGUUGCAAUCUCAGGGGAUGUUGUCUAUUUGUUAGUUCAGAUGUUGCUAUUGGAUCAAAGUCUAGGAAAACUCCCAUGUUCAAACAAAGCAAAAGCACUUGAGAUUCAAAGUCGUAAGAAGAAGAUGUUGCCAUAAGAGUUUGAUUCUAGUUACCUUAAUAUUUGUCUUUUGGAAAGAGAGUCUUUACGCAAGGGCACAGACAUGCUUAAUAA